RNAcentral lists this ribosomal RNA (2854 nucleotides) under Annulohypoxylon stygium. RNAcentral's name for it is "LSU rRNA". It matches the Rfam family "Bacterial large subunit ribosomal RNA". The record is from RNAcentral. Lineage: Eukaryota; Fungi; Ascomycota; Sordariomycetes; Xylariales; Hypoxylaceae.
UAAUAAACUCUUAGAGAAAUUAAUUAAUAAACGAAAGCAAAUUGAAAUAUCUUAGUAGCUUCAGGAAAAUAAAUCAAACGAGAUUCUACUAUUAGUGUGAAUGAAAGUAGAGUAGCCUAUACUACUGAAUAUAGUAUACUAAUAAGUAAAAUGGAUACAAAUCUGUUUAAAUAUUAAGGGGAACCUUCCUCUAAGGCUAAAUAUGAUACAUAAGCGACAGUGAAUAAGUACCGUGAGGGAAAGGUGGAAUUAGUAGUUUUAUAAGCAGUUCGAGCUAGUAAAGGCAAGAGCGUACCUUUUGCAUAAUGGGUCACCAAGUUAACAUUAGAUGCGAGCUAUUUUGCGUAGUUAAACCGAUGAUCAAAAAUGAAUUAGUGUCUAAAGUUAGACCCGAAGCUAGGUGAUCUUACUAUGGUCAGGAUUAUAAAAGUCCGAACGGGUUAUCGUUGCAAAGAUAUCCGAAGAACUGUGGUAAGUAUAGUGAAAGACAAUACUGACCUAGAUAGCUGGUUUUCUGCGAAACCUAUAAUAGUAGGCAAUUUAAGUAACAUCAUAGCAGGUACAGAACUUAAUCUCAGGCAAGAUGUCAAAAAUUUUUUAAUAAGUUGUAACAAAUAUAUUUAAAAAUCGACAUUUUCCUUUGUACAUAUAGGGGAGUCGUAGAGGCUUUACCUGUGAGUAUGUAGACUCGGAAUGGCAUAGAUGGAUCUUGAAUUAUCAGACAUAGAAUGAUAAGGUUGUAUGUCAAAAGGGAAACAGCCCAGAACAAGAGUUAAGGUUCCGAAAUUAUUAUUAAGUGAAAUUAAGAAAGUUUUUUAUUUAAGUCGACAAGGAUAUGGGCUUAGAAGUAGCCAUAAUUCAAAGAACUCGUAACAGAGCACUUGUUAAUUUUCUAAAGGCGUCUAUAAUUUAACGGAUCUAAAUAAUAUACCGACACCUUGUCCAUAAUUGAUUAUAAUAAAUAUAUUAUUGUCAUUACUGGGGUAGCAGAACAUUGAGUAAAUCUGCAGCAUUUUAUAUUUAUUUAAUAUAUGUGUGGUCUACAGCAUACUCAAGAGAUAAUGGUGACAUGAGUAACAAAAAAGAAGGGUAAGAAGGAAGAAGCAUAAAAUAAUGUUGUACGACUGUUUAAUUAAAACAAAGCACUUUGCAUAAAGACUUAAAGUCUAAGUAUAGAGUGUGAUUUCUGCCCGGUGCCGGCUGGUUAACGAAAAUAACUAACUUUUAAAUGUUUGGUACUGUAGGAACCCCCGGUUAAUGGCGGCCUUAACGUGAGGGUCCUAAGGUAGCGGAAUACCUUGACUGUUAAAUGCAGUCUUUGCAUGAAUGAUGUAACGAUACAACAGCUGUCUCUAUGAUUGACUCAGUGAAAUUGGCAUAGCAGUGCAGAUACUGCUUACCUCUAGUUAGACGAGAAGACCCUAUGCAGCUUUACUGUUACUAAUUAUUAGGCACGAUUGGGGACAGUUUUUAGUAUAUAAGGGAGUUGAUAAGAUAGAAAUGUAAUACCUUUAUUUGGGGAUCGUGCUGUAUGGGUUAAUUAACCAUCUUUGUAUUUUUUUUUUUAAUAGAAAGUGACCUUAAAUAGGAAAAAUUGCUAGGGGACAGUUUAUGCGGGGCACAGACCCCACAAAGAGUAAAUGGGAGUAUCCAACGAUGUUUUAAUCUGUUGUUUAUAUGGAUGUAUCACUAAAUAAAAUUUUUAAUGUAAUUAUUUGUUUGUAAUAGUAGAUAGCAGUGCUAUAUGCUAUCUUAUAUAUGUAGAGAUGUACAAGCUUAGGCAUAUUGUGCCUAAUAUAAAUACUUUUUUGUAUCUACUUACUACUUACUAAUUAAGUGUAAAAUUUACAAAACUAUGAUGAGAUGUUAUAUUUUUUUUUUAAAUAGGUAGGAUUUUGAAUUAAAGUGAAAUUAGUUGUAAUUGAAAUAUUACGAAAAAUUCUAAUAUUUUUUUUAGCUGUUACACAUUAGUGUGAAAUGGUUAUGUAUAAUACUUACAAAGUUUAAUGGCUAAAUCUUGCCUUACUGUUUGACAACCAACAAGUCUUACAGUCGCGUAAGCGGGGCAUAGGAUCACGAGACACCAAAAGGAAAGGUCUUGGGUUAUAGGAAAAGCUACGCUAGGGAUGUUUGUCCUUCAAUGUUUAUAUAAGAUUAAUCUAAAAAACAUUGUUAAAUAAAUUGGGUUAAUUUCAAGAAUUACUUAUAUUAUUUUUAAGUAAAUUUGAAGCGAAAUUUAUCUAGAUUAACCUUGUGCAGGCCUGCUUCGCAGGCCUAGCUGGGGUACGCUACAGAACAGGCUAAUUUGCGCAAGAGUGUGCAAAAUGAGUGCGCGGUUUGGCACCUCGAUGUCGGCUUAACUUAUCCUCAUGGAUGCAGAAACUAUGUAGGGUACGACUGUUCGUCGAUUAAAAAGUUACGUGAGCUGGGUACAUAGUCUGAGCAACAUAGUAAUAUGUUGAAUUCGUUAAUUAAAGUUUAAUAAUAGAGUUUACACUUUAAUUCAGAAGAUAACAUCUUGUAAAUACGUCGUGAGACAGUAUGGUUUCUAUCUUCUAGAGGGAAUUAGAAUAUAAUAAGGAAUAACCUAUGUACGAAAGGAACUUGGGAUAUUAAUAUAUUAAUAUUUAAAUAACAUAAUUAUUAAUCUCUGGUUUACCUGUUGUUUAUAUGUCUAAAUAUUAAAUUAUUAGUGUAUAAUAAAAAUUAUACAAGACUAUCCUACUUUCACUUGAGUAGUUAUAUAGUAUAGGCACGGCAGGAAAGCUAUGUUAGUCAAAGAUAAGUGCUGAAAGCAUCUAGGCACGAAGCUUACCUUAAGAUAUUUCUUAAAUAUACGUAAUAUAAUAUUACG